Molecule: long non-coding RNA, 440 nt
Organism: Ornithodoros turicata
Lineage: Eukaryota; Metazoa; Arthropoda; Arachnida; Ixodida; Argasidae
Exons: 3
Source: RefSeq, a predicted model, not a curated record
GAUCUCGCGGGCCGAUGAGUGACUCCCCCUAGCGGAUCGUGUGGACGGGCUCCUCAUAGGGUUUGCCGAUCAUGAUGUGGUCAUUAGAAUCUAGUAGGGUCGUGAUUUGAACACAUUGCGGAUGAUAUUCUCACCUGGAUGGAAGUUUUCUUCCACUUCUUACCGACUGGUCCUGAUUGAUGGUGACCUCUUCGACCUUCGCCUUCACCUGAGGCAUCCACGGAGGAUCAGCUACAGGGGCGCAGUCCAGUGCAAUACGUGGGCUCGGAAGGGUAAACUCAAUCAUUGGAGGUGGCACCUGCAGCAAGGACGGGGCAUUUCUGCAAGGAUUCUUCAGAAUUCGUGGCUACACAAAAGCUCCAUUAGCAGAAGCUCCCACGCCAAAGGCAUGGCUUCAACGAAUGUGUCUUCAGAGGCAACAACGGCGCCCUUGAUCAAGG